Mus musculus (house mouse) is the source of this 58-nucleotide non-coding RNA. NCBI's taxonomy places the organism in Eukaryota, Metazoa, Chordata, Mammalia, Rodentia, Muridae. The record is from Rfam.
UGGCUCAGUGGUUAAGAGCACUGACUGCUCUUCCAGAGGUCCUGGGUUCAAUUCCCAG